Cornus florida is the source of this 1406-nucleotide long non-coding RNA. RefSeq lists it as uncharacterized. NCBI's taxonomy places the organism in Eukaryota, Viridiplantae, Streptophyta, Magnoliopsida, Cornales, Cornaceae. The record is from RefSeq and is a predicted model, not a curated record. The transcript has 5 exons.
CCUUCAAUUUUAGGGCAAAUCAUUUCAGCCUCGGCAUCCCCAAUCGCCUCUAUCUCCAGUCUCGUUCUCAACUCUGAACUUGUCCUAUCUCUGUCCCUGCAACUGCAAACUACAAAAUCUACAAGAAUCAAACCCAUAUAAUUCAGUUUAUCUAUCUGUCUGCAAGAAUCAAAAUUUCAAAACCUAUUACCUAUAUCAAAACCCAUAUCGGCAUAUCAUUUCAGAUUGUUCAAAAAAUCAACACCCAUAUCCUUCAGUUUCCAUCGCCCGCUGUUCCAGUUCGAGUUCGCCAUUGGCAAGCUUCAGCCACUGGCCCGCUGUCUCUCAACUCUCAAGCCCCUCUCUCUGCAAUAUAUAUAUAUAUACACACACACACACGUAUAUAUAUAUUUUGACUGCCUACUCAAACCCUAAUCUCUCUCUUGACUGUAAACAUUCCUCAUAUCAGGUCCAUAUUCUGUUCUGCCUUAGUUCAACCUUUGCCCAUAAUCUUUCAUCUUUACACCCUAGCCAUAUCAUACAAUUUUAGCCGCCAUCAAAUCAGCAACUGAUCGGAACAACGAAUUCAACGGUAAAACCACAAUUUUUAGCGACGUACCUCUCCAUUUAGCGCAUCAGAAAGUUCCAUUCUACCCAUGGGUUCGGAUCUGGUCAUUGGUUGAUUCGUUCUUCGAUUUGGGGAUUUUGUAGUUUUGGUUAUGUUGCAUUUUGCAGAGGGUUUUUGACUCUGAUUCGCACUUCUCUUCGUGGUUGCUUUUGUUCGAUCUUGGAGAUUUCGGCCAACUCUCGUUGUAGGGAAAGCUUCGCCGACCCAAAUUCGAAUAGACAAAGGAGCAAUUACAAGUUAUCUUGGAGCUUUCGGCCAAAUCGCGUUGUAGGGUAAGCUUCGUCGGCCAAAAUUCGAAGAAACAAAGGAGCAAUUACGAGUUACCGGUUGUGAGGAAAAGGAAGAGGACAUUGUUGUUGCUCGUGGUCUCGAGGAAGAAGAGAAAAACAUAGGGGAAAUGAAGGAAGAAAAAAGGUGUGUAUCUUCUCACCAAGAAACAAAGAUGCCAUUUAUCAAAGGAGAUCCUCUAGCUGUUCGUUGAUGCUAGAUUCAGUUGUUGACUGAGCACAAUGAACAAAAAUUAUGGUCAAAGCUAGGAUUGCGGGAUUGCGGUUCCCGUUACUGUUUUUGUUGCCGUUAUAUUUUUUGUAUGGCUCAUGAUCAAGAAGUUGCAUAUAUGGACGAGAGAGACUAAAACAAAGCAAGAAGAUAUGAAGAAUUUUUGUUUCAUUUUAGUUAAGUAAAGAUAUAAGAUGUGGAUCAUGUACUUCUUUGAAAUUUGUAUAUAUUCUUGUAUAAAACCAUGAUUUGGAAUUGGUUAUAUAUAUAUAUGAUGUUAUUGGCCAAGUUAUUUUGGUUA